Molecule: non-coding RNA, 23 nt
Filed under: Cricetulus griseus (Chinese hamster)
Lineage: Eukaryota; Metazoa; Chordata; Mammalia; Rodentia; Cricetidae
Source: RNAcentral
GGUGGGUGGAUGAAAGACCUGAG